AUGAAGCUGGAGCCCGGCAUGUCGGCCCUCGUCACCGGCGGCGGCUCCGGCAUUGGGAAGGCGCUUUGCAUUGCUCUGGCGCACAAGGGUCUAUUUGUGACUGUCGUGGAUUUCUCUGAAGAACACGGAGAGCAAGUUGCGUCGUUAGUUCAAAAGAGAAGGAACCAGUUUCAUGGAGAUUCUAAAGUUCCAUCUGCUAUAUUCGUCAAGUGUGAUGUCACUGAUGCAGAUGCUCUUGCUGCUGCUUUUGGGAAACAUGUACACUUGUAUGGUGGAUUAGAUGUCUGCAUCAACUGUGCUGGAUUUGUCAACAAAUCUUUAGUUUAUGAUGAUACAUCAAAUGGAACUAAGACAUGGAGGCGUGCUGUAAAUGUGAACCUUGUUGCUGUUAUUGAUGGUACUCGCAUCGCAACUCAAAUAAUGCGAUCACAGAAGAAGCCCGGUGCCAUACUAAAUUUCGGUUCAGUUGCUGGCUUAUACCCUAUGCACUAUGAGCCCAUCUAUAGUGGGACAAAAGGUGGUGUGAUUAUGUUUACAAGAUCACUUGCUCCAUUAAAACGGCAUGGCAUUCGUGUCAAUGUGAUCUGCCCUGAGUUUGUCCAAACAAAUAUGGGAGAACAAGUAAACCGCAUAUUAGUAGAUGCACUUGGUGGGUUUUUGAAGAUGGAGGAUGUUAUUAAUGGUGCAUUUGAGCUUAUAGAAGAUGAGAGCAAGGCUGGUGCCUGCCUUUGGAUAUCUAAAAGAAGAGGCAUGGUGUACUGGCCAACAUCAGAGGAAGAAAAGAAGUAUUUGGUGUAUGCCACAAAGUCAAAAAUGACAGUAACAAAGAAUAGAUUCCCCAGCAUCCAGACACCUGAAUUCUUUGAGAAGAUAACGGUUCACAUGCUCAGCCAUAAUUUCCGCAAUGCUACAAGAAUUGAUCGUGUGCGGCUGAGAUUGCCCAUGGAACCACAUAGUGCUCUUGUUAAAAUAAUAUACGCUGGUGUAAAUGCUAGUGACGUAAACUUCACUUCUGGCCGUUAUUUCAGUGGUAAUGCUAAAGAAGCUUCUGCACAUCUUCCAUUUGAUGCUGGUUUCGAGGCUGUGGGAAUUGUUGCUUCUGUUGGAGAUUCGGUGAGACAUAUCAAAGUUGGCACUGCUGUGGCCCUUAUGACGUUUGGGAGCUAUGCCGAAUUUACAGUGGUUCCAGCCAAACAUCUCCUUCUGGUGCCAAGACCAGACCCUGAAGUAGUUGCUAUGCUAACAUCAGGACUGACUGCUUCAAUUUCUCUUGAAAAGUCAGGUCAAAUGACAUCCGGACAAGUUGUUUUAGUUACAGCUGCUGCUGGUGGGACAGGACAGUUUGCUGUUCAGCUCGCGAAACUAGCUGGCAACAAGGUUAUUGCCACAUGUGGUGGCGGGAAUAAAGCUGCACUUCUGGCUUCAUUGGGGGUUGAUCGAGUCAUCAACUACCAACAUGAAAAGAUAAAAGAUUAUCAAGGAAAGGAUGGAUGGAUGCCACGGAAUUACUAUGGAUUGUGUGAGAAGAUUCUUGGAAAGAGCCAAACUGUGGCUGGAUUUUUCCUGAUUCAAUAUGCCGACCUGUGGCAAAAACACCUUGACAAGCUUUUUGACCUGCAUGCGUCUGGGAAGUUAAAGGUUUCCCUUGACCCCAAGAAAUUCGUAGGUGUUGCUUCUGUGGCCGACGCAGUAGAACAUCUCCAUUCUGGCAGGAGCGUUGGCAAGGUGGUUGUCUGCAUGGAUCCAGCAUACAGCCAGACCCUUGCUAAGCUAUAG
RNAcentral lists this ribosomal RNA (1776 nucleotides) under Triticum aestivum (bread wheat). RNAcentral's name for it is "partial small subunit ribosomal RNA". The record is from RNAcentral. Lineage: Eukaryota; Viridiplantae; Streptophyta; Magnoliopsida; Poales; Poaceae.